This is a long non-coding RNA of Callorhinus ursinus (northern fur seal), 961 nucleotides long. RefSeq lists it as uncharacterized. The record is from RefSeq and is a predicted model, not a curated record. Lineage: Eukaryota; Metazoa; Chordata; Mammalia; Carnivora; Otariidae.
CUGUGGCUCUUCUCUUUGUCUACUGAUUGCCCAGUUAAGGCUACAGUUAUGAAUCUAGAACGAUUACUUUGCUUUUGUUUCUCUUGCCAUAGGAAGCUGUUGGGGCCCCAUCAAAAUACAAAACUUCUGCACAGCAAAGGCAACAAUCCACAAAACUAAAAGACAACCUACUGUAUUUGCAGCAUCAUUUAAAGAGCCACACUAUGGAAGCAAUAGAUGAAUGGAUAGAGAAGAUCUGGCAUGAAACCAGAAUGCGAUGUGUAUCACAGGCGGUCCUCCGAGAGAUUGCAAAGACGAGGAGACCGUAGGCUGCUCUGUGGCCAAGCGGAUGCAGCCCACUACUUCCGUGCUCUCAGGAGAAAGUGCGACCACUCCUCAAGUAAGAGGCCCUGACAAUACUAUUUGUUACACGCAGUUAUGAGGAGUGUAGAUUUAUAGUCAAUCUUGCAAUCAGGGAGUGUGAAUCCUCCAACUUUUUCUUGUUCAAAAUAGUGGUAGUUCUUUGUUUUCUUUGUAUAAAUUUUAGAAGAAGCUUGUGAAUAUCUACCAAAAAUCCCACUCGGAUUUUGACUGAGAUUGCGUUGCUCUGUUGAUGAAAUUAGGGGAGAAUUGACAUCUUAAUAAUAUUGAAUUUUCUUAUCCACAAACAUAGGCUAUCUCUCCAUUUAUUUAGGUCUUCUUUGAUUUUUCUCAUCAACAUUGGUAGUUUUCAGCAUUAAAAUCUUAGAUUUAUCCCAAAGUAGUUCAUGGUUUUUAAUGCUACUACAAGAGUGCUGAUGACUUAAUUCCAAUUUCCAAUGGUUCACUGCUGAUAGUGGAUCCUUGCAUGUUCACCUUGCAUUCUCCUACCUUGCUAAGCCAAUUUCUUAGUUCUGGAAUAUUUUUUCCCUUUUGGGGGUUUUCUGCAUAAAUAAUCAUGUCAUCUCUGAAUAAAGAGAACUUUAUUAUUUCCUUUACACUU